Molecule: transfer RNA, 68 nt
Filed under: Coleoptera sp. 1 KM-2017
Lineage: Eukaryota; Metazoa; Arthropoda; Insecta; Coleoptera
Description: tRNA-Gln
Source: RNAcentral
UAUAAAAAGGUGUUGAUGCACAAGAAAUUUUGAUUUUCUAGGUUCUAAUUUAUAGUUAGAUUUUAUAA